This 86-nucleotide small nuclear RNA is filed under the name Otolemur garnettii (small-eared galago). The record is from RNAcentral. Lineage: Eukaryota; Metazoa; Chordata; Mammalia; Primates; Galagidae.
GUACUCCCUUCGGCAGCACAGUACAGAGAAGGUUAGCGUGGAUGUGCAAGGAUGACAUGCAAAGAUGUGAGGCGUUCUGUAUUUUU